This 81-nucleotide microRNA precursor is filed under the name Microtus ochrogaster (prairie vole). Its description in RNAcentral is "miRNA (ENSMOCG00000005665.1)". The record is from RNAcentral. Lineage: Eukaryota; Metazoa; Chordata; Mammalia; Rodentia; Cricetidae.
CUCAACUUAGAAGUAAAAUUACUCUAGGUAUGAAAAUGCAUGCCUGUAAUUCCAGCACUGAGGAGGCUGAGGCAGGAGGAU